GGUGCCAAGGUUACAAUAUUAGCAAUCACCUUGGAAGUCAGAGCACAGAAAUGACCCCCCAGCUGGGCUGUUCCCUGGGACGAGGUUUUCCUUUUCCCCAGAUCAAGCAGCUGCAGAGACUCUCAGGCACUCAGGGACCCUGCCAGGCUUUUCCCUAUCUCACCCGGGAAGGGGGCUACAGGACAGCCCUGGGGCAUGUGCAUGGUGGGUGGCAGCAGCAGAGGCAGGAGUAACGCCUGUGUCCUGCUGGAUGGAAAAUGAGGGGGUAGACCCUGGCCCCCAAGGACCACCUGUGGAGUGAACCUGAGAUUCUCAAACUGUGUUCUCCAUCCUCGGCUCCUCCAUUGCGACCAAAUGAGGCUGGGCAGUGCCUUCAGUGACCUCAGCCCCAGCAGCGGGAGUCUGGGAUAAACGCCACGGUUGUCUCAAAGGACCGUUCGACUUCCAUCUCACAGAACUGAUGCACCUUCCUUGCAGACAGUUGCUAAUUGGUUUUCGACUGAUGGCCGGUGUUUACGUAGCAAGAAUCAGAACCGCAAUAAUAACGAUUCAACAUCGACUAGGCGACUGUGCGCAGCGCUGGACAAGACACGGAUGUAAACAGAUGCUCCCUGCCUGCUCAGCUUGGUACCCAAAUAAUAAGGACAGACAUGAAGGGCUUGGGAAAGGCAUGAAGAUUCAUGAAGUUCAGGAUAGGUGGUAAGAGAAAUAAGCAUUUCGCGUUGGGUUGAAUUUCUUCGUGCAUUUUGGGGGCAUUUUGUGCUCCAUGAUUGGGCUUCUGGAAAGAGCGAGUCUAGGGAAGGAAUCUGAAGGUGGGUACGAUUGGCUAGAAUUUGAACUCCAUAACUGCGACUCUAAUUCUGCAAUCAGCUCGAGGCUCUGUUGCCUGCUCUUGCCACGGAAAAGCUAUGCAGCACAAAGCCAAGCCGGAUCCGAAGUGGGUUAGGGUAUUAUGUAAGCCCUUGGCGGGAGGGGAGAUGGUCUUCUACGUGUGUUCCUUUUGCAGCAGCGGCGGCAGCGGCGGCGGCGGCAGCAGCGAGUGGCUCAGGUUGAUUUAGAAUACGGAUGACAGUGGCCUGGCGCGAGCCCACGGCUGACGAAAGCUGCUUAUCCCGCUCGGUUUCCAUGGCGACGGGCGCGAGCAGCGGCGGCGGCGGCGGCGGCUGCGGCGGCGGCGGGGCUGUCAGCGAGCGCGGCGGCGGCGGUCGCGCGUCCGCGGGGGUCUGCAGGAGGAAGGAGGAGGCCGGGGCCCGGACCCUCGCGGCAGACAUGGACUUGCAUUGUGAUUGUGCUGCCGAAACUCCGGCCGCCGAGCAGCCGUCGGGGAAGAUUAAUAAAGCUGCUUUCAAAUUAUUCAAGAAGAGGAAAUCGGGUGGCACCAUGCCCAGCAUAUUUGGGGUCAAAAACAAAGGGGAUGGGAAAGGCUCGGGCUCGACGGGAAUGGUGAGGAGCAGGACCCACGACGGGCUGGCCGAGGUGGUGGUGCUGGAGAGCAGCAGGAAGGAGGAGCCGCGCGGCGGGGGCGACGGGGGCGGCGGCGGGGGCGGCGGCGGCGGGGCUCGGCCGAACCCGGGUCCCCCCAGGGCUGCCGUGCCCGGCGUGGGCUCCCUGGCCAACAGCUCGGUGGCGAAGUCACACAGCUUCUUCUCCCUUUUGAAGAAGAACGGGCGAUCCGAAAAUGGCAAAGGGGAGCAGGCAGAUGCAAGCAAGGCUGGCGGCAAACAAAAGAGGGGGCUGAAAGGGCUCUUCAGCAGUAUGCGCUGGCACAAGAAGGACAAGCGGGCCAAGGAGGAGGACAAGGGGGAGCGCGCGGGGGCGCCGGGCGGCCGCGUCCUGGUCCUGCCGGGGUCGCUCACCGCCAGCCUGGAGUGCGUCAAGGAGGAAACGCCCCGACCCGCCAGCGAGCCGGAGGAGCCCCGCCAGGACGCCCCGCGGGGCCCAGCAGGUGAGCCCGGAGGGGGAGAGCCGGCGCCGGCCGAAGUGCGGACCCGCCGAGAGGCCGAGAGCCCCGGGGUCCCUCACGCCGAAAGCGCCCGGGGAGAGGACGCCGCGGGGCAUCGGCGCGCCGACACGCCCGGGGCACCCCCCGAGCUGGGCGCUGCGGAGGCCCAGACGGCAGAGGAUGCUUCCAGGACAGGUGACGUUCCGAUAAAGACCGUCCCCCCUGUCGACUCCGAGUGCGGCAGCGGCCGAGCGUCUGCCGUCCCCGACCCCUCCUCUGUCGACCCACCCUCAGACCCAUCGGCCGAUCGUAUUUGUUUGAUGUUUUCUGACGUGACUUCACUGAAAAGCUUUGACUCUCUUACAGGCUGUGGAGAUAUUAUUGCAGACCAAGAGGACGAGGCAGGUCCCAGCUGUGACAAGCAUGCCCCCGGGCCAGGCAAGCCAGUUCUCUCUAAAAAGAACCCCAGCGUGGUGGCCUACCAAGGAGGAGGGGAGGAGAUGGCCAGCCCGGAUGAGGUGGACGACACCUAUCUCCAGGAAUUCUGGGACAUGCUGUCCCAGACUGAGGACCAAGGACAAGGGCCCCAAGAGGGAGCGGCUAAGGCAGCAGCAGCAGCACUGGAGACCAAGGUGGUACCUGAGACCUCCAAAGAUGCCAGGUGUGCAGAAGGGGCCAAGGACGUGUCCUUGGUCAAGCGCAGGAGGCUCAACCGGAUUCCCAUUGAGCUCCAGCCGAAGGAGGAGCCUCAGCACCCGGAGAAGGAGCAGCAGGAAGGAGUCCCCAACAGUGACGAGGGCUACUGGGAUUCCACCACCCCUGGCCCAGAGGAAGACGGCACCAACAGUGGGAAAAAGGCGGGCAUCCCCCGGGACAGCUACAGUGGCGACGCCCUCUACGAUCUCUACGCUGAUCCCGACGCGAGCCCGGCAGCCCUUCCCGCCAACGAGGAGACGUCCUGCGUGUCCCGGUUAAAGCCUGUGUCUCCAGGCACCAUCACCUGUCCCCUGCGAACACCAGGCAGUUUGCUGAAGGACUCGAAGAUCCCUAUCAGCAUCAAGCACCUCGCGAACCUUCCAUCCAGCCAUCCCGUAGUGCACCAGCAACCAGCCAGGAGUGAGAUGCCCAGAACAAAAAUCCCCGUUUCCAAAGUGCUGGUCCGCAGGGUCAGCAACCGGGGCUUAGCUGGGACCACCAUCCGCGCAGCGGCGUGCCACGACAGUGCCAAAAAGUUGUGAGGUCUCCGAGGCCAAGGUGGAUGGACCACAUGUCAAGGAAUACAACUUUCCCUGGAAAUCACUAAAAUAAGUUUUGUUUCCCCUAAAGAAAGGCUUUUAGGACGUCCCUGCUGCAGAGCCUGGACUGAGGAGGUCUUUGUGCCGCCAGUAGGGGCAGGAUCCACCCGAGAGGGGGAGCUACACAUGGGAUUCUCCUCUCAAGAUAAGUCCCUGAGAAUUCUUUUCAAGCACUUUUUCUUUUUUACCUUUUUAAAAAUCUUUUUUCUUUCUUUUUUUCUUUGAUGCACUGAACACUCAGAGGCCACCUUUACUUGCCUUUGCAGAAAACAGGACAUAAUCAAACCUAGGAAAAAAACGACCCUUUGUUGUAUCACUGUGUGGGAAACACCUACAAAGGUGAAAGAGCCAGGUAUUUACCUGAGGAGCAGGAGGGGGAUCAUUGAUGGGCAGAAAACUUGCCUUCUUUCAGUUGCUAGGUAUGCAAACAGGUAAAUACCGACCACUAGGACAACAAGGGAGAGUCUGGGUUGGUUGGUUUAGAUCAUUCCUUUGGCGAGAAAUAAAAAGCUCAGCAGAGCACGUUUUUCCCUUUUUUUUUUUUUCCACCCAGUGCAGAAAUCAGGAUCAGGGAAAGAUUUCACUAAAUGCCAAUAGCCACAGUAUUUUAGCAUUUAUAAACUCUGUAACCUUUUCAUGUGUAGAUAAUGCAUAUUUUACAGUUUAUUCAGCUGUUAACAUUUUAUAAUCUGUCAGUAACCUCAAGUCUAAAAUCUGGUUUUAUAGCUAGAUAUGGUAACUGUCCCCAAACCAUUGAUGUUCUUUUAUGUGCUGUGACCAGAAGCAGUUCUGUUUUGUUUUAUAUGGGUUCUCUGGCUCUCAAUGCAGAAAAAAAGAUCUAUUGUGUUGAUGUGUCAGAGGAAUGGUUCUGCCUUGUCUUGGGUAAGGGUCUAUUCGUUUCUCACCCCCAACCCUGGUGUUCAGAAAUUUGACCUUGGUUAUAAAAAUUUUGGAUUCAACCAUUCCUCAAUAUGGGGAGUCCAAAAUGAGGAACACGUAAAGAAAAACAAUAGAAAACUAUAGUUUUUCAUGUUAUCGGACUUUUGCUUUAUAGACUUGUAUCUGAGACAGAUAUGUUCAGAAUAUGACACUGGCAAGCUUACGUAUCCUAAACACUUUAUGCCAAGAUUUUUUUGAAAAGUGGUUGACUUUGACACAUAUUUUCUAUUAUUUUAGAUAAAACACUUAUUUCAGAAAGGGUUACCGUAUGCCUACUUGGAGUGAUACACUGAACCAGUGCCUAAAAUGCUAUUAGUGCCCCAUGAUUAUAUCACAUCCUCUUUGAAAUGCACUUCAGUGUAUUUAAUCAGAAGACCGGGGCCUCUGCUGGGAGGUGCCUCACAGUCUCAGGAAGGUUAGACACAUUCAAGGGGAAUUACACGCAUGUAAAUGCCAUAAGCCCUUCUAUGUAACUCUAGUUUUCCAGAGAGAUUGCCCUAAUAACCAACUGAUACUACCUUUGCUUUUAAAGUUUCUUCUCUGUUUUAUAAAAGAAAGAAUAAAGCAAGUUGAGUAUAUGAAAACCUAUUUUAAUAAUAUGGAGGAAGUAAGAAAAUGAGCAGGCGUCAAAGGAAAACAGAUUUGAGCCAGUAGCACAAAGCAGGUUGUUCCUCAUUUUAAAUUUAUAAUGAUUUGAUUAGAAGAGGUGGUAGAGAUUUGCUGAGUUUCUUUAUUAGUCAGAUUACUGGCUUUUAUUGCUUUGUGUCAGAUCCUUAAUGUUAUUACAAAGUAAUGUUUUAAUGUUGAAUUUUCUUAUGUCGGUAGAUGAAGUCCUGUACUCAGACAGAAGCACUCUGAAUACACCACCAGGAACUCAUACAGUAACUCACACUUACACGUGCCCAUGCACUCAGCUGUGCACAAACCAACAGACAAAGGCAGCUACUGUAAACCCAGAAAUAUUUUAGAAAUUAUUUCUGUCUUUAGAAAAGCAAUUUAAAUUUGAUUUAACACUGAUAGUACUAUUUAGACUCAAAAUACAUUCAUUUUUCCCUAGUGAAUGGAAAGAACAUAAAUUUUAUUCCUAGCUAUAAAACAAAGGAUCUUUAUUUUCUUCUUGCACACUUUCCUGCAAGGGUUAUUUUCUUCUCUGCAUGGAUUCUUGACAAAGUUAUAUUAGUUCAUUUGUUCAAUUGUACAGGAAAGUUAAGAGUAUCUGAAGUACUAAUGAGAAUAUUGUAAUAGUACAAGCGGUCUAUUUACUUGUUUUGUAAGCACUGGAACAAACUAUUUUUGCUUUCACAGCUUGGGGACUUAUUUCUGCAUUUACACCACUAUGCUGUGUCUUCUUUUCUAAGUAAAGGAAAAUGUCAGCCAAGUUUAUUUUACUUUCUCCUUCCUGUCAACCGGUUAGACAAGAUUUAAAAUGUUUUCUUUUAUAAUUCUUUUCUUCAUAUAUUUCCCACGUUUUUUAUUCUAUAUCUUUAAGAAUUCCACCCACACCAGUCAAAUGAAGAAUUCAGGCAACGAAUUAAAGGGCCUCAAUCGCUUGAUGGGAAAUCCGGGCCAAUGCAAGAAGAGUGUGUCUUAAUCUUUUCCAACCAUAGACAAGGGAUAAAGUUGCUUUUUUGUGCCAAGGGCUACUUUCAUUUACGUUUGUGAAGACUCUCUUUUAGAAUUUUAAUAGAUUUACAUUCCAAUUAUUAAUGCAUUAUCUAAUUUGGCCCUAUUUGCUGAUAUUUUUAGGGAAAGGAUUGGAUAUGGGCUGAUGACAAACUUUCCUGUGUAUAUAUGAUUCUGAAAUACUUGGUUGAUUAAGUCGCUUUAGGCAAAGAGCUGGCCAGUGUAGAGAGGAAAAGUCAAAUCAAUUGUUGGCCCUGAAUUUAUCGGUCAGUUCAAUAGCUCUGCAUGAAGACAGCCUGGCUUUAAAACCUCCAUCGCACAGACGAUGUUUCCUGACCCACUCUGCUUCAGCACCAAUGGCGGUUGAUGCUUUUAAUCUUCCAUUAGCACCAACUGGGAGAAAUUUUACCACAGCAUUUUUAAUAAUUGCAGGAGGAAAUAGAUUUUUAUUAUUUCCCCUAAUAAACAAUGGAAUAUAGAACAUUAGGAACUUCCUUUAGAUACAUUUCCACAAAUUAUCUGCCAAUUAAAAUACAAAGUGUUGAAUAUCUGUGAAAAUGAUGCCUUUCUGAGUGUAAAGGGUUUACUCAGUCUCAGAAGUAGUUUUCAAGUAUUUGCACUUAAAUGAAUAUUCAAAUAACCCUUUGCUUACACAGUUGUCAAGGUAAAGAGACUGUAUUAGGUAUCAAGAUUUCUUUGACUGAACUUUCUGAGUUUUCAUUAUUUACAUCUUUGUCAGGUUAAGUUUUGGAGACUUUUUACUGUCCACUUCUUUUGGAGAGAUUGGGUAAUGUGCUCGUGGUCCUCUCCCUUUGUCUCCAUGCUGUUGGCUUAGUGCCCUUGGAUAGCAGUACUGGGACCCUUGUCGCGAUGGUAGUGUGUUUUGACACUUCUUAGUGGAACGUCUUUCCUGCUUGUAGUUGUACCAGACUUCUCUCCUGAAGUGUGACUAUCUGGGCUUGGCCCCUGGGCCUGGCUUCCGCUGAGAAACGUUCCAAUACAUUCACAUAUACUUCACCCCCCCUUGUCAUUCUUAAUAAAUUAAUUCAAGAAUUUUAUUCUCUUAAACAAAGGAAAAGCAUUGCUGUAGCCUCUUACCACUCCUGAUGACCUGAGAAUGCUCAGUUAAAAGUACCUGGGUGAAAUAAGAGGAGAAACCCAAAUACCUUGGCCUAACCCCCCUUCCCUCCCCCUUCUCUAGGCAGACCAAGGGAUGAACACACUUCUCAUUUGUGUACACUCUGCCUUAGGAAUUUUGAAUUUGUUAUCCACAAAUAUUUAUAAAACAGUUUGAGACCAAAAGGCUAGUAUGGCGGACUGGUAUUUUCUAUGUAGCCAUGUGGGGAAGCAAGAGGCAAGCUUUUACCUCCUAAAAAGAAGCAGGCUACAAUAUUGUCAGGUGGUAGGCAAGUGUGGUCCUUUCUUAAGGGCAGUCAUUGACACUGUGACCCGUCUUGCUCUGAGGAUGUUCUGACGGCUGUCGUGGAUUGCUUCUCAGAGCCUUUUCACUGUGAUGAUGAUUUAAACAAUAGCCACUUAUAAAGAAAGUUAUUAUCUCACUGCAGAUAGUGUCUUUAAGGAGUCAUUCAGAAUGCUAGUUUCAUGAUUAUGGAAAGGAGUUCCUUCUCAAACUGGAAAAGGAAAGAUUGAACCAGUCACAAAGACUCCAGGUCUGAAACUGGGCACAUUUUAUGACUGCUAUUUACUUUAAUUCAAUGCAACCCAUAUUCCUGGGGCAUACACUGUACCUAAAUUUUAAGAAAAGCCCAUUCAGUUUGGAGCUCACACAUAGCUGUGUUGUAAUUGGACUUUCUUAAUAUUUUUUAAAACCAUCUUGAUUUUAUUUUACCUAUCUUUCUUUGUUUUGUUGCUUAUAGUUUGUGGGGUGGAGCAGAAUGGCUGAGGUUGAACACGGGCGAUGUGGAUUAAGCCACACAAAUUCCUCUAAAAAUAAUAAUUAUCAUAACAAUGAUUAACAUUUAUCAAAGACUUAGUAAGUUCCAGUGAUUGCUAGGAGCGUUACAAAUAUUUACUUAGUCCUCUUAACAGCCAUGCGAGUUAGGCAAAAUCUCCCUAAUACGCCAUCUUUAAUUCACCUUUUUUGUUUGUCUCCAUCCCAUUCCAUCUCUCGCUCUCUUUUCCCCUAGUCUUUGCGGCAGGGAUGGAGAAUCUUUAGUGACUCAUGGUAGUAGGGAAGCUAAGAACUGCUUAAUAUCUUUCAGCAGAAGCAAAGCUAACCUAUGUCAGAAGCUGAAAAUGGUAUUGUGUCCAAGACCGUGGUGCUCCCAUUGCUCACAGGGAAACCUGCCACUGUCGCACAGUUAAUGGGCUAACAAUCUGCCUUCCUUUGGAGGCUCCUCUCUUUCUUGGGAUUAACUUCAAACGUGUGGACAGAAAUCUCUUCUGCUGUCAUGGAAGCACUUCUUCCCUGCUGGGAUGUCAGUCAUUCCAAGCACCCUUCACUUGUUGCUUUUCCAACUUCAGCCCAGUCUAAGCUUGUUCUGGGUGUUCUCUGUUAUUGUUUGAAUAGGAGCAGCCUGGGGAAUCCCUGGCCUGGAUACAUUUCUGAGCCUCAGACAUAAGCUCCUGUCUCUUUCAAAAGUAGCGCAUCCUAUGUUCUGUCUACAGCCAUUGAAUCCUGGCCUAUCUUUUCUGAUUCAUUAAUUCGUUCAACUAAUAUUUGUCGAAUAGCUACAAAUCGGUCACCAUGAAUUUGAGUAUUUUAUAUUAAAUUAAAAUUAAUGUGUUAAGGUAAAAUCCUGUGUGUUUACGCCGUGCCGGGAUGACGCUGUGUACUUGCCUUUGCGUUGCUCUCUCCGCUGUUCACAAGAACCGUGCAAGGUGGGUGUUGGCUCCACUCUACAGAGGAAGAAAAUGAUGCUCACAAAGGUGAAAUACCUUGUCCAAAGUCACCCAUUUAAUAAGAACGGACAGAAUUUAAACCAGAAGUCUAACUCUGUAGCUCAUGCUUUAAUUAUAAUCCUUUUUUGGCCGUAGGAUUCAAUCUUUGCGUAACUUGUUUUACGUAACAAACUGAUCAAAGUUCUGAAAUGCAAGAGCCAAACCAGAUUUUUGAUUGUGGAUACCGUUAAAACCAUGACUAGUUUAGUCAAAGGUGAACUUGGUUUUUUUAAGAAAAAUUACUUGAUGGCUUUUAUAUGUGCAAGUCUAGAAGGUAGAUCUCGGAGUCUAGCAGGUUUUUUUUCUCACCUGGGCCAGUCAAAAUUUUGGACCAUAUUCACCAAUUAUUUUAGAGUUACAUACUGGCAGGUCUACAUACGGAUUUUAUAAUCUGAUGACGCUUUGUCAAUAAGAAAACCAAAAGCAGUUUCAGGAGUGAACUCAACAGAUUGCUGUCUGAGUUUUCUUCCACUCUGAUUCUCCUGAGAUGCCACUCUCAGCAUUUAGGGAAAAUCCGUUUGAAAUUGCAUCACGGUCACAAUUAAUGAGGUUAUUUUACUAACACGUGGGCUGCCUACACUUGGUAAAAUGCUUUUUUAAUGAAUUCUACAUUUCAUUUUAAUGGGAGGUAAUAGAAGAUUUCAAUAACAGAUGGUCAUUCUACUGAAUUGUAAACUGGGGUAAUUUUUGGAAAUUAUUCGGUGAUUGGGUAGAGUAACUCUCUGUUCUAUGUGAGAAGAUCCAUUUUUAAUAAGUUACUGGUUAUUGGAGACAUAUUAAACUUUCCCACAUACCUACCGAAUCACUUGGUAACUCAAGCUGAAAUACUAAAAAUAUCGGGUCAAAUUGCAUAGGGACAUAGAGUAGACAUACAGUAAAUACUCGUUAACAUGUCAUGAGUGGCCCCAGGUAGCCUGAAGGAAUCAGUGAACCUUCUCGAAUAUCUGCAUUACAACCAUUUAUCCCCCACUACACAGUUACGUCUAGAUAAAGGAGGAGAAACUCUAACCAAGUAAUAUUUAACAUUUUUAUUGCUUCCAGGAUAAAUUUAACUGGAUGUGGAGGACCUGAUAGUGGUAGCUUUAUCAAGAAUAUCAGGGAGAAUGGUUUUGAUGCUACAGGAAAAGUCAAUUCUUGUCCUUUUCACUUGACUCCAGCUAUCUACCAGGCUCAUUGCUAACUGCAGGUUUUGCCCAAGAUAUUUAUAUGAAAUAUCUCAGUGUAAAACAGGAAAUUGCAGGUUAUUUGAAAACAAUGAUAAAGAAAACCCAAAUGAGAGACUCCCUUUCUAUAAUUAAUUUUCCUGAGAGUCAGGCGUGUCUUUGAGGACAAGCUUUUGGCUGUAUUAUUUUUGUGCACAGGAGGAAAAUUGUUAGUAGGUUUAUAUAUAUUAUUUUUAUAAUAGAAUGUUAAACUCCCCCAAAACAUCAAAAAUUGUCUCCUAGAACUACUCUAUGUUUUUGAAACUUGUUUUAACAAAGGAUUCUAAAUAGCAAUAGGGUCUUUUCUCCUUUCUCCACUCCAAUGGUUUAAUGGGGUAGAUGAACCAAUGUUUAUAUUUUUAAACCUGUAAAUAUUUUAUUUUGGGUAUUUUGUAUAUUUGUUGAUAUAAUUCCAUUUUGUGCAUAUGUAUCAUUGUGCAUGUUGCCGUUUUUGAUAGUCACUCUUAAUGAAUGUAAGAAGCUUGGACUAAUAGCACUUUUCUUGUUUCAUUCAAACAUCUUAAAUUGAAAAUAUGACACUGCCAUUUUAACUGUUGUGUUUAAGUCAGUCAAUAAAUUUCGUUACUCCUUUACAUUUAAAGUGA
This is an RNA transcript of Equus caballus (horse), 10507 nucleotides long. It is a transcript of the gene named APC membrane recruitment protein 2, with no coding region annotated. The record is from RefSeq and is a predicted model, not a curated record. NCBI's taxonomy places the organism in Eukaryota, Metazoa, Chordata, Mammalia, Perissodactyla, Equidae.